CAGUAGCCGCGGGAAUACGGAGGGUGCAAGCGUUAUCCGGAUUUAUUGGGUUUAAAGGGUCCGUAGGCGGACUUAUAAGUCAGUGGUGAAAGCCUGUCGCUUAACGAUAGAACUGCCAUUGAUACUGUAAGUCUUGAGUAUAUUUGAGGUAGCUGGAAUAAGUAGUGUAGCGGUGAAAUGCAUAGAUAUUACUUAGAACACCAAUUGCGAAGGCAGGUUACCAAGAUAUAACUGACGCUGAGGGACGAAAGCGUGGGUAGCGAACAGGAUUAGAUACCCCAGUAGUCCCUGUCUCUUAUAU
This 301-nucleotide ribosomal RNA is filed under the name uncultured bacterium. RNAcentral describes it as "partial 16S ribosomal RNA". It matches the Rfam family "Bacterial small subunit ribosomal RNA", at positions 509 to 809 of the family's 1533-position model. The record is from RNAcentral.